This 375-nucleotide ribosomal RNA is filed under the name uncultured Helicobacter sp. RNAcentral's name for it is "bacterial SSU rRNA". It matches the Rfam family "Bacterial small subunit ribosomal RNA", at positions 275 to 667 of the family's 1533-position model. The record is from RNAcentral. Lineage: Bacteria; Pseudomonadati; Campylobacterota; Epsilonproteobacteria; Campylobacterales; Helicobacteraceae.
UAUGACGGGUAUCCGGCCUGAGAGGGUGAUCGGACACACUGGAACUGAGACACGGUCCAGACUCCUACGGGAGGCAGCAGUAGGGAAUAUUGCUCAAUGGGCGAAAGCCUGAAGCAGCAACGCCGCGUGGAGGAUGAAGGUUUUAGGAUUGUAAACUCCUUUUGUUAGAGAAGAUUAUGACGGUAUCUAACGAAUAAGCACCGGCUAACUCCGUGCCAGCAGCCGCGGUAAUACGGAGGGUGCAAGCGUUACUCGGAAUCACUGGGCGUAAAGAGUGCGUAGGCGGGAAGGUAAGCCAGAUGUGAAAUCCUGUAGCUUAACUACAGAACUGCAUUUGAAACUACUUUUCUAGAGUGUGGGAGAGGUAGGUGGAAU